CUUCCAUAAAUAAGGACUGGUCCCUAACUGCAGGAAAUAUAUGUGCACUUCACAGAACAUUUAUAACAAUUCAUAAUUUAUUACUUUUGCCUCAGGCUGGGUAACCACAACAAAAGUUGGCAAAUAGGCCCUUUGAAGGUAGCUUGCAUGUCAGGCUCGAUGCUUGAAAUAGAGCCUGUUAUACCAUGUGAGCAAAGUCCUCUCAUAUUUCUUCUCGGCACAGCACGGAGAAGCGAGAGAUAAGCAACUGCCUAUUUCCCAGAAGAAGAUUUAAUAAAUAGUUUCCGGUUCGGAUCAAAACCGGUUAUAAAACUGGUAUCAAACCUGAAAUUACUCAUAAUUAUCCAAGUUUUUGAAUUGUCGGCUCCACAAAGAAUAUACACAAGUGCUGCAGAGUAUCUCUUGUGCUGAGAAGAAAUACGAGAGGACUUUGCUCGCAGGGUAAGCCUGUCACUGAAGUCAAUAAAAAGUGGACAGUGAUUGGGAUGCACAAAAAUAACAACCAAUCAAAAUGGCGAUUGUUAAUUAUGUAUCAGUCAAUUCCAGCAGUGCCCAUCCCCCCGAGGUAUUAGCCAUUUCUGGGAAGAAAAUGGCUAUGUCCACAAGCCAUUUGCAAUCAAAUUAAAUAUCAGUUUUCCAGCAAAUCUACCAAAUCCCCCAUGAUGGAAAAUGUCAAAAUCCUCACCCUGGGCAGGGCUAAAAAAUAUUGGCAAUAGCCCCACCCCCGUGAUUGGGAAAAGCUGCAAAGGCCCAGGGGUGGGAACUGCUGGAAUUAAUUGAUACAUUAGAUUAUCAAAGCUAAUUUAAAAUAUGACAAUAACGGCCAACUUUUCCACCAAUAUCUCAAAACUAAAUAUUCCAAUUUUCAUUGAAUGGCCAGGAAUUACAUAUUAAAUAAUAAUAAUUGUUAUUGACUGCAGCGAAGGCAGUCAUUAACAUGGCCAAAAGUAGUUAAAUACAAUUACAAAUACGGAAUAUCAUUACAUACACAACAAUUUGACAUUACCUUAUAAACAAAGCUAUUUAUUUCUGACCAAUGGGAAUUUUGCGUACGAAUCAUGUGCAUCAAUCCUUUUUACUGACCUCAGUAGCAGGCUUUAUUUCAAGCAUAGAGUCUGACACGCUAGUUACUUUUAAUAACCCAUUGAGUUGCAUUGACCCCCCCACACACACUUAAUUUCAAUACAUUGUUUUCACCAUUGUGUUUAUACAACCUUGCAAAUUUACUAGUAGGAAUUUCCAUUGUGUUUGCAGCCCUCACACUUUGUGUUUCAUUAUGGCAUCUUGACCUUGAAAGAGUCUAUUACUGUGGCUCCAACAUUUUCCCGUUCGGCGUUAGAAACACAAUACAUUGAUAAUAAAAUGACUGAAAUAUUACAGAUUUAAAAGCCUGACACCUAGCGACAAAGUUUAAGUUUCACACAAGUAGUGACGAAUGGUGACCAUUGUGGUUGUAUUUCGGUCUUGUUAGGCUACACCAUGUUCUUUUGACCACCUAUCCGUAACAGGAUUAUUUGCAUCAACAGCCGUAAACAAAGCACCCAAAUAAACAGCAGUUUGCGAAUAUUAUUGUUGCAAUUUACAAAGGUUGCGGCCCGUUCCAGCUUUGUAAAAUUGAAAAUUGUGAACUUUUGUCCUCUAUUUCAAGCUUGUAGCCUUCCAAGUUUACUCACAUAAAAUGAAUUUCGCUUUAUAAAGUCUGUUUCAUCGGAAAACUUUUAAGGUUCAUCGGAAAAAUAAAAAAAAU
Non-coding RNA from Paramuricea clavata, 1747 nucleotides. NCBI's taxonomy places the organism in Eukaryota, Metazoa, Cnidaria, Anthozoa, Malacalcyonacea, Plexauridae. The record is from the annotation of a GenBank genome assembly.